CAAAUAAAACAUUCUGUUCUCUAAUAAACAGCUCAGCAGAAAGAGAGAGAGGCCAGUAUUUCUGAGGUCUCCAUAGCCUCCCGUUGUUCACUGGAUUAAUUCAGAAGACAUUACCAUGAAGCUUGGGCAGAGCUGGGUUCUUGCUUUGACAAUUUUGAAUGGUGUUCACUGUGAAGUACAUCUGGAGCAGUCUGGAGGAGGCUUUAUUCAGCCAGGAGGUUCCCUGAGACUCUAUUGUGAAGGGUCUGGGUUCACCUUCAGUGACUUCUACAUACACUGGCAUCGCCAGGCUCCAGGAAAGAGUCUGGAGUGGGUGGGUUUCAUCAGAGACAAACCUAGGGGGCACACAACGGAGUAUGCUGCGUCUGUGAAACAGAGAUUCGCCAUCUCAAGAGAUGAUUCCAAGAACACUGCCUACCUUCACAUGAGCAGUCUGAGAGCCGAGGACUCGGUGAUGUAUUACUGCGCCAGAGAAAGAGACACAAUGUCCUGUCCCAGGUUACCCUGAGGGAGUCUGGCCCUGGGCUGUUGCAGCCCUCCCAGACCCUCAGUCUGACCUGCUCUUUCUCUGGGUUUUCACUGAGCACUUCUGGUAUAGGUGUGGGCUGGAUCCGCCAGCCCUCAGGGAAGGGUCUGGAGUGGCUGGCACGUAUUGAUUGGGAUGAUGAUAAGUACUACAACCCAUCCCUGAAGAGCAGGCUCACAAUCUCCAAGGACACCUCCAAAAACCAAGUAUUCCUCAAGAUCACCAGUGUGGACUCUGCAGAUACUGCCACAUACUACUGUGCUCGGAGAGCACAGAGACACCGCCUCAGUUGUCAGCUGUACAAUAUUUCAGGCUGGUUCUCAGCUCCAUUUCUUCCUAUUACAGGACAGGGUGGUAGUGAGUGGGGCACACUUUUUCCUGCUAGCCUCUGGAGUUUCCUCUUGACUUUGAGUUCAGAGCCCUGGUUUCCUGUCAUAUCUGCUAAGUCCCUUUUCAGAUGUUCAGAAAUAAGUGUCUGCCUUUGUUUGGCUUUAUAAACAUAAAGGGUAUCUGGUGCCUAAGCCAGGUGGUUCAGAGCUGUGGUUCCACCCAGUUUUUGGUGUCAAUUCCCCACAGUAGUUUAUUCCAAAUUAUUGUAAUGUUCACCUUCAGUUAGCAAGUGGAUAUGGGGAAGAUGGCAUCAGUGAAUCAGCACACAUAUGUUGAGUCUUCGGACAUAGGAGUCCCAUGGACCCACUAUCCCCCCAAAUAUCUCAGGAUAUUGCCAAGGCGAUUGGUUGCUCUCCACAAACUGAUGAUAAGGCCACCUGACUGAAGACAACACUUUGGAUUUAGUGAAUGCAGAGAAGUAGAACUGGAGUCUAACUAGAGGCUUGUUUCUAUUGACUAAUAUUCAGAGUACUGAAAAGUACUUUGCAUGCUAUUGGAGGAGAAAGGUAAUAACCAUCCUAUCUACAAACCCUGUGACUCUCAAUGAUGACCUGGCUGUGAGACACGCUGGUGCAAUAGGGGCUCAAACAUUGUUGAUGUCACCAAGCAUUCUGUGAUUGGAUUUAAGGCCCACUUCCUGAGAUGAGACCCAUGGCCAACAAGCAGAGAGUAGAUAGGUCAUGGACUUAGAGGAAAAUCAAAUACUACUCUUCUGAUAAUGGAAUAUAGCAAUAAAAUGAUUCCAAAUGAUAUUCCUGCAGAUACACAUGAAAAAUGCCAAAUCAGCCAUCAUCAGAGGGUCUUCUUUUAGUAGAUGGCAACUAUUUUAGAGAGCCAAAAUG
Peromyscus maniculatus bairdii (prairie deer mouse) is the source of this 1758-nucleotide non-coding RNA. The record is from the annotation of a RefSeq genome assembly. Lineage: Eukaryota; Metazoa; Chordata; Mammalia; Rodentia; Cricetidae.